Molecule: ribosomal RNA, 528 nt
Filed under: uncultured bacterium
Lineage: Bacteria
Description: bacterial SSU rRNA
Rfam family: Bacterial small subunit ribosomal RNA
Source: RNAcentral
AAUAGAUACCCGGGUAGUCCACGCCGUAAACGAUGAGUGCUAAGUGUUAGAGGGUUUCCGCCCUUUAGUGCUGCAGCUAACGCAUUAAGCACUCCGCCUGGGGAGUACGGUCGCAAGACUGAAACUCAAAGGAAUUGACGGGGGCCCGCACAAGCGGUGGAGCAUGUGGUUUAAUCGAAGCAACGCGAAGAACCUUACCAGGUCUUGACAUCCCACUGACCGGUAUAGAGAUAUACCUUUCCCUUCGGGGACAGUGGUGACAGGUGGUGCAUGGUUGUCGUCAGCUCGUGUCGUGAGAUGUUGGGUUAAGUCCCGCAACGAGCGCAACCCUUGAUCUUAGUUGCCAGCAUUUAGUUGGGCACUCUAAGGUGACUGCCGGUGACAAACCGGAGGAAGGUGGGGAUGACGUCAAAUCAUCAUGCCCCUUAUGACCUGGGCUACACACGUGCUACAAUGGAUGGUACAAAGGGCUGCAAGACUGCGAAGUCAAGCCAAUCCCAUAAAACCAUUCUCAGUUCGGAUUGCAGG